Molecule: non-coding RNA, 114 nt
Organism: Paramuricea clavata
Lineage: Eukaryota; Metazoa; Cnidaria; Anthozoa; Malacalcyonacea; Plexauridae
Source: the annotation of a GenBank genome assembly
UACCACUUUUUUGGUUCUUGGACUACCUAUUUAGCUAUAUAAGCCCCGUUUACACUACGCUCAAUUUUUGGUACCGUACCUAAAUAGGUAGUCCAAGAACCAAAAAAGUGGUAC